CCUACGGGAGACAGCAGUGGGGGAUAUUGCACAAUGGGGGAAACCCUGAUGCAGCGACGCCGCGUGGGUGAAGAAGCGCCUCGGCGCGUAAAACCCUGUCAGCAGGGAAGAAAAUGACGGUACCUGAAGAAGAAGCCCCGGCUAACUACGUGCCAGCAGCCGCGGUAAUACGUAGGGUGCAAGCGUUAUCCGGAUUUACUGGGUGUAAAGGGGGCGCAGACGGCGUUGCAAGCCAGGAGUGAAAGCCCGGGGCCCAACCCCGGGACUGCCCUUGGAACUGCGUGGCUAGAGUGCAGGAGGGGCAGGCGGAAUUCCUGGUGUAGCGGUGAAAUGCGUAGAUAUCAGGAGGAACACCGGUGGCGAAGGCGGCCUGCUGGACUGCAACUGACGUUGAGGCCCGAAAGCGUGGGGAGCAAACAGGAUUAGAUACCCCUGUAGUC
RNAcentral lists this ribosomal RNA (440 nucleotides) under uncultured bacterium. RNAcentral describes it as "partial 16S ribosomal RNA". It matches the Rfam family "Bacterial small subunit ribosomal RNA", at positions 338 to 795 of the family's 1533-position model. The record is from RNAcentral.